UACGUAGGGUGCAAGCGUUAAUCGGAAUUACUGGGCGUAAAGCGUGCGCAGGCGGCUUUGCAAGACAGAUGUGAAAUCCCCGGGCUCAACCUGGGAACUGCAUUUGUGACUGCACAGCUGGAGUGCGGCAGAGGGGGAUGGAAUUCCGCGUGUAGCAGUGAAAUGCGUAGAUAUGCGGAGGAACACCGAUGGCGAAGGCAAUCCCCUGGGCCUGCACUGGCGCUCAUGCACGAAAGCGUGGGGAGCAAACAGG
Molecule: ribosomal RNA, 253 nt
Filed under: uncultured bacterium
Lineage: Bacteria
Description: partial 16S ribosomal RNA
Rfam family: Bacterial small subunit ribosomal RNA
Source: RNAcentral